UUUUAAAUACAGUUUUUGUCUGUAUUUUUGAUCAAAUAAAUGCAGGCUUGAUGAGCAUAAGAUAUUUUCAUAAUGCUGUUUAAUUAUCAAAAAUGGUAAUAUAAUAAAGUCCUUUCACGGCACCAUUUUGCCCUCCUACAUUUCACAUAACAGGCCUGUAGGUGGCACUUGGGCUUCAUUAUUUAUGAUAGUUUCAUGAAAUAGUAAACGGUGUAAAUAUAAGGGAACUGAAUACUGGUUACCAUUAUUGCGACUUUUGGCACUGCAUGGUUUUGUGCAGUGCUUUUGUAGUAAUUUAGCAUACAUUUUCUCAGCAAUGUAAUUUGAUUUAUAAAAAUGAGUCAAACCGCAGAUCCAGAUCACUCCACAAAGGUAAGCUUGUCUGUCCAUGUAAUUUUCAACUGAUUCAUGAAUAAGAACAGAAAAUGACCACUCUACUUCACUCUGUUGUCCAAUGAAAUUUGAACUUGUGCCAGAUCGUUAUUGGUUGGUGUAUUAUACAUGACAAACGGGGAAUGAUGAACUAUGUAAUAUUCUAACAUAAUUAAAUCGACACACUAGCUUUGAUUAUUGAUGAAAAAAGUUAAAAAUAUUGUUUAGUUUAUUUUUUCCUUCCCGCAACCCUAGUCACUGAAAAGAAGGUUUCCGAACAGACUGUGGAAUAUCACAUAUGUCAGUCAAGCAAAACGCACACAACCCAAUGCCUCAGAUUGCAGAUAUGUGUAUUAAAAAAAAAAGAAAAAAAAGGGAAUUUUCCAACAUUUGAGUGAUUAAUUACUGUUCCCUUUCAAGGGAACUUUGAACUGCGUCCUCUAGGGGUCGCUAUGGGGAACACCUCGUCGUGACCUGUGUCUGAAACAUACGUUGAAAAAACACCAACGAGUUGGCCUCUGACGUCACUACAGGCGCGACUAUAAACAGCCACCGGGAGAACACGUCAUUCUCUUCUUCGUCUUCACUGACUGUUCUGUUUGAAGUGUGCAUCUGAAAGAACUGGUAAGAGCAAUCUUUCUCUGUCUAUCAUGGCGACUACUAGCAAGCAUUUAGACAAUGUGUGCAUCCGUGUCAGCGUUAUUUGACACCCGAUGACACACGAUCUUUGCGUCAUUUGUUUUUUGGGUGAAGAGCACGCACGCGAUGUCUUUGAGGAGGCAAUCUGCGUGCAUUGUGAGUGUUUUUUCAAUGAUAAAGCUCCGCUCUCGUUCGUCUCUCUUUCCGAGGGAUGAGAGAGAGCCUCAGGAGGAUGAUGUUAUAUCUUUAACACUUUCUGAUACUGAGGUUAGUGCUCUGCUGGGUUUUUACCCAGGAAAAGCAGGAGAUAUUUGAGGAUGGUGAAGAAGCUGAGGCUGAGCCUUCUCAAUUCUCCUGCCCUGCGUAUGUAGAGCUGUUGGAGGUUAUGGAUCGUGCCACGGCAAGGUUGGACUUGCCAUGAAAGUGCGCUAACAAGGUGAUGCCGUGAAGCCAUCUCGAUGAGCAUUAUCUGUCUGACCAUAGCCCUCCAGCUCAGGUGAGCCUUCCAUUUCUGCCUGAUCUCCAUACAGAGAUCGAAAAGAAAUGAAAGAGGCUGUUUUCUUCUCACAUCCAUCGGUUUUGGCAUAAGAGUUGUGCCGACAUCAAGGCGAUGCAUGAAAACAGCUAUGAGAGGAUGCCCCCUGUAGAAAGAGCUUUCUUUCUGCGGGGGAGACAUCCCCUCUUAAUCUCCUUCCUUUCCAUCUAAGCCCCUUCAAAGAAAUACAUCUCGCUUAAAAGGCAUACGCAGCAGCAGGUCAGGCUGUGGCUUUAUUACACACAAUGGUGGUGCUUCAAGCAUAUCAGACUGAUCUGCUAAGAGACCUGGAUAGAGGCGAGGGCCUUUUUCCUGAUCAGGUAGCCGAGCUGCGCCGCACCACAGAUCUUUCUCCAGGCAACCAAGCAGGCCACCUCUGCCAUGGGCAGGACUAUGGCUGCCAUGGUGGUAGCGGAGAGACAUCUGUGGAUGAACCUGGCAGACAUCGGGAAGAAAGAAAAUGCGUUCUUCUCGAUGCUCAGGUUUCGCCUUCUGAACUUUUUGGUAUUCCGUUGAGAUGGUGAUCGAGAAGUUCAGGGAGAUGAAGGUGUGCUCCGCUGCUUUCAGAUCCUUCAUUCCACGAAGGUCCAGGUCUGAGCCCGAACAACAUGGGGUCCUGGCCUGUCUUGAUCUGAGGAUCAAAGACGGGCACAGAAGGCUAGUGUCGCGGCUCGCGCUCCUCCCCCACCUGCGGGCAGGGGUAAGAGGAAUCGUGGGUCACAAGGAGGUAAGCAGAAUCUAAGGGAUGUGAUCCAGAUGAGGCAGCAUUCUCGUCUGAAUCAGAGCGAUACCGAGGUAUCUACUCGUUCCCUUUAGGGAUUUUUAAAUUCUGCUUUUAUCCUUCCCUUCCUAAUUCCCCUGUAACCACCAGCUCUCCACCUGAUCGAGGUUAGGUGGAAACCUCUCGCAUAACAGUCUCCUAUGCUGGACCUAUAAUGUUUUUGGCUGGUUCUAUGUUCAUAGCAACCACCUUACUGAUGGUCACCCUGAGGGGUCUCCUGGCCUUUUAGUUGUGCUGUCGCAUCCAGUGGGAAGUGGAGGUGGCAGUUACAGAAGUCUUCUUGUUUAUGCUUCCCCAGGUGAUGCUCCCCUUGCCAGAGGUUUGUAAAAUUUGAGCUUGCCUGUCCCGUGCGGUUCAGCACCUCUGCGAUGCUUAGGAACCUUUAGGUACACACGCUAAGCUCUGUGUACUUUCUGAAAACCACAUGGUGGUCAGUGUGCACGUGAACACUUUGCACACUUUCUAAAAUCCACGUAAGUGGUAAGUGUGCACACAAGACUCUGCGCACUUUCUGAAAUCCUGUACGGUAAGGGUUACGCGCUCCGCCUUGUUCCCUUUCUUGAGAUGAUUAGACCUUGGUCCCUUGGGCUCCAUUCAGCCAGUGUGUAUUUGUUUAUAUACUUCAAGCAUCGCUUCCCUCAACAUGAGGGGCUAUUUGAGCGAUUCUUGUGGUAGUUUAGCAGCGCUCCCCUUUUCCAAGAAGGGUCGCCUAUGAGUGCGCUACUCUGAAUUCGGAGUUCUCCUCUCAUAUGAGACUGAGUUCUCUGUUUUUUUCCCCAAAGUGCUCCAGCAUUAUUUCCACAGAUCGAGUUGAUGACUCUCAAACAUACUGUUUUGAGAUGCACCAUUCCAUCUAUGAGCUGUUCUAUCAGAGUGCCACGAGAGCCCCUCCUUAGAACAGUAUUUGAAAAUCCAUGCUAUGGUAAGUGUGCACAUGAAGUCUUUGCACACUUUCUGAAAUCCACACUUUGGUAAGUUCACACACUAGUAUUCUACGUUCUUUCUAAAAUCCUAUAUGGUGAGGGCUUUGUGUGGUUGCUUCGUGCCCUUUCUUGAGUUGGUAAAAGCCCCGUUCAUCUUGGGCGCCACUUCACCUAUGUAUCCUCGGACACCUAUCUAAACAGGGUGUUGCUACUAGAGAUCCGUUGAGACAGCUCCUUCAGCAAGCUUAUGCGAAAGCAAGCGGUAGCCCCUGUGUGACAGGCAAGACUUUAAAGGAGUCUUUCCUGAUUCCAAGCCUUCAGCUCUACCCUGGGCCGAGGCCCUAACAAUUAAGUUGGGUAUGUAGCUUAGGCCUUUGGCCGUAAGAGGUACUGUCACAGACAGCCGUCUAAACGUCUCAGGGGCAACUCCCAUGGAAAUGGUAGAGUUGAUACUUAGUGUUCACCAUGAUUCUGGGCUGCACUCACCUCAGCAUGGCGGCGUGGGUAUACUGUUCCCCAUAGCGACCCCUAGAGGACGCAGUUCGAAGUUCCCUUGAAAAGGAAUGUCUCAGGUUACGGACUUCAGACUUUAGACAUGGGUCACGACGAGGUGUUCCCCAUAGCGACCCCUAGAGGAUGCAGUGUCUCGUUCCCUACUCAGGGAACCAUGGUUACAUUUGUAAUCUGAGACGUUUUGUACACCUUGUCAUGUUAAUUAUAAUUCAAAUGCGUUUUUUUAUUGACCACGAUAUCAUUGCUAUUUGUCUAAGAGGAGCACUUUUGAAUAAUUUUGAAAAAGGACAGGGACUUGAGCUGUUAGGCGCAUAUCCAAUCGUUUGUGUGCAAGAGUGGAAGGCACUAGUGCAAUCACUUGCAUUUUUUUCUAACAGUGGAAAUAGACUAAAUAUGCCGUCAUUUUUGCUCAUAAAGGUAAGAGUAAUACAUAAUUCGGAACUGUAAAGGGUCUGCUUUUAUUUGUGUGCGCUCACAAUAUCAACAAAACGUUGUGCUUUGAUAAAAUAAAUAGGAAAACAGCGGAUAUGCAUUCUGCCAUCUCGGUCUUGAACAGGAGUGCUUUACAAUGAUGAACUGAAACUCAGCAAAUUGCUUCAGAGACAUGAUAUACAAAUAUAUAUCUAUAGAAAGCUUUAAAUUACUACUUUAAAAUGAAAUAAUUCAAAUCAAAAAUAGAAAGUCUUUCAUUAUGUAAUCUGUAAAGAUGCAUUUCUCUCUAAAGGCAUGUCCAAUGACGUGAUGGCGAGUCAUUUUUUUGUCACCAUAAUUGAUGGAUGUCUAAAAUAUAAAAAUAAGGAAAAGCCUAAAACAGGCCCGAUUAUAAUUUGUUUUAUUUUUUAUAAUUCUAUACAAUUAAAAAAUAAAACACACAUUAUAAUGGCAUAGGCUAUAUGUACAACUUUGUCCAAUAUUUGUAUAGCUGCUUAUAUUUUCUGAUUUUUAUGUUGCUCUGUUCAGAAUACCUUAAAAUUUAAAGGAUUUGCUGCAAUUCAAUAUUGUCUGAUAUGUGAAUAAUUUAUUUGCAUAUUAGUAGGCCUAUUUUUUAAAUCCAUGCUGCAAAUGCUUUAAAAACAGCUUUAAAAAUUACUUUAUUGCAUUCCAGAUGCUUUUAAAGAACUUUUCACUAUACAUUUAACGGGUAGCUUAAAUAUAAAACAUUUUCAUGAAUUUGUUGUAUUCCCAUUUGUAAAAUAGCCUAAUUAACUGUUGUAGGCUAACCUGAUCUCAUGUUGAAGAUGCUUAUUAUAGCUCGAUUUUCUGUUUCUAUUUGGCACAGUAUUUAUAUGAAAAAAUUGACGUUUGCUGCAAAAGACUGAUAAAUUCAUAAUUAAUGGCAUGGCUGGUUCAGUCGACAGAAAUACAGGACACAUAUAGCUACUCAUGAUACACAGCGGUAAACAUGCCUUCAGCCAUACACUUGCACUUUGGAUGGGUUAAAUGCGGAGCACGAAUUCUGAGUAUGGGUCACCAUACUUGGCUGUAUGUCACGUCACACAGCAGCUUUCCUCCUUAAAUGUUUAACAAACAGCUAAUUUUAAGACGCUGACGUCACGUCUGGUUGUCACGUGGGUCACUCGCAGUGUAAGACGCUCAAAGCUCAAGACGUUCGGUUUGACGUUUGAUCGGUCGGUCGGUCGUUCGAACAUAUGGAGUUCCACCGAGCUCUUUAAUAUGACGUUGUAACACGCACUUGUCUCACUGAACGUCACGUCUGCCGAACGUCACGUCUGCGCCUGCCACAUUACAGUUCUAUGAGGUGUGAUUUAUGCACUUUUUGCUACUCACUAAGCAGACUGAGAGGAGAACUGACGUGUAUACGCUCGCCAGCCGUCUGGCCAAAAUCCCAUAGUAUUCAGGCGUCAGACGUAAGAUAUGAGACGUUAGACGUCACGGUCACGUGUUGGAGCUGUGCUCAAACUGCGCGGCGGCGUGGCGGCGACGGAGCAAAGAAAGGAUUUUUUUUACUUUGCAUCUGGAUAACGUAUGUGUGGAUAAACGUCUGGAUAACGUACGUGUGGAUAAACGUCUGGAUAACGUACGCGUGGAUAAGCGUCUGGGUAACGUACGCUUGGAUAAGCAUCUGGAUAACGUACGUGUGGAUAAGCGUAUGUGUGAAUAAGCGUACGUGUGAAUAAAUACAUUGAUAAUCAUUUGGCUUUGUCCUAUUUUGCCCCAAGGAAGGCUUUACGGUGGUAAUGGUCAUGAUAACAGUACCUAAAGUACACAUCUGUCUCCCCAGUGGCAUAGUCUGGGUGUGUUUUAAUAUGAGAAUUCUUGGCCCGAGUCGGACUGGAUACCGUGACUUUUUUCUCUCUCUCUUCCCUUAUUACACAGCUAUUAAAAUAGUUAAAAUAGUUUUGUUUUUUAAUAGAAAAGUUGUCAAAUUUCUUUUUGUUUCUUUAUUAAGUUAAUUUAGAAAUAUGUUUGGAACAUUUUGUGUUUGGUAAAUUCAAGUUUUUGUUUUUUAAAGGAACGAGCAAGCUGCAGCGGCGGAUAGUGAGUUGAGCAUUAUGUUUGAUCAAUUUAGCCUUCUCAAACCAACACGACUUAAUACACUUCAUGCAUUCCACAGCAUUAAUUUAAACAUUUAACCUAGAUAAAUGAUCGCUGUUAGGCGCAUAUCCAAUCGUUUGUGCGGAGAGUGAGCGCUUUGCAGGACAUGGGUCAGCUUUUUUUUAAAUUUUUUUUUUUAAUGACAGUAAAAACUUAAAAAUACGCCGUCAUUUUUGCUCAUAAAGGUAAGAGUGUGCAUCAUUCGGAACGGCAAAGGGUCUACUUUUAUUUGUGUGCACUCACAAUAUGAACAAAACCUUAUGCUUUUGUAAAAUAAGGAAAACAAACAGGAUGUGCUUAUUGUAUUGGUCUUGAGCAGGAGCGCUUCACCAUCAUGAUAAAUAUAUCUAUAGAAUGCUUUUCUAUAGAAUAUCUAUAGAAUGCUUUUUGCAUUUUAAAUUACUAUUUUAAAACGAAAUAAUUCAAAUCGAAAACAAAAACUCUUUCAUUAUGUAAUCUAAAGAUGCAUUUCUCUCUCAAUGCACGUCCAGUGAGGAGAUGGCAAGUCAGUUCGUCAAAUUAAUUUUUGCAACAACAUUGACUCAGAAGAAAUUAGUUUAUUAAGACAUAAUUCAAAUAUCUCACCACUAUUUUUACUUUUUUUGUUUGUUUGUUUUUUUAUUGAUUUAUUUGUUGUUUGUUUGUUUUUGGGCCGCUGUGCAAAAAUUGUGUUUGCAUUCAGUAGCCUAUAAGGCAGCAUUUUGUGCCACGUUGAAAAAUAACAGAAUAAAUAAGAUUAACGUCAUAAUAUUUUAAGAAUAAAAUGUCAAAAUUACGAUAAUAAAAUUAUGUUAUAUUGUGAAGUGAAAAAAAGUCUGUGGCAUCCAUCAUUCUUUUAACUUUUCUUAACUAACUCUGAUUGAUCGAUUCAUGAGACAUUCGUUUGUAUUAAAUUGUUCUGAUUUUUUUUUCAACAUGCAUUCAAAUAUUCAUGUUUAUUUCGUGCUGCAAAUAUUAAAGAGGAAAAUAUCAUUGAUUCAUAUGCAGCUACUGAACAAAUUAUCUCAAUCUACAAGUUUUUUGCACAUGUGCCUGGAGCUGACUCGCUACGCCACAGUUUCCCUACGACUGUGAUCAUAAGGCUUCAGUAGAUAUCAACACAUGAAAAGUAGGCUACUAUAUAGACAUAACACUUGAAAAUGAAAAUGUGUCAAACUGGGUAGACCAGUUUCAAAACAUUUUCAAAUAGGCCUAUAUGUAUAAACGUAUUAAUUAUUUAUCAAUAUAUAGCCUCUUAAUUUGAACAUGUAGAGUAGCUUACAAGAAACUGCUCUGGUAAUAAGCAGCUGUAUGGCAUGAAAAAAACAAAACCUGAACUCUGAAAUAAUAGACAUCUGCUGAUCAUACAGUUAUCUAGUUUUCAGAAAUGAGGUCUACUCUAUAGUGAUUUUUUUCUUUAGAGACGUGUUGUAUUAACUAUUACCAGUAAAUUCAUAUGUGCUCAGAUUAAAAUUAGCCUAUAUUAUUAUUGUAUUAUUUCAUUUAAGCUGUAACUGUGAAUAUAUUUGGACACUCCAUGUUAGUCACUGAAUAGACUUACAUGAUUUUCAAUUGAUUUUUAGGUGAUAUUGUUUGAAAAGUGAUUUAUAAUGAGUGCAAAAAAAAAAAAAAAAAACAAUUAUUUAUACAGUUUAUUUUAUUAUCAAAGCCUAGACCCUAUGUGAUAACAUAACCUGAGGCUAAAAGCUGUGAUAUUAAUGCUGUCCACUAGAGAGAGCCACAUUAUAAGGAAUAGGCCUAUUUAAAGCUUAUUUUUAAAAAUCAAUUUCCACACUUUUGAAAAGAAACGAAUGCAUAUAACAAUUUAAUUUAACUAUGAUGUACUGACAGUAUAGUUUUAUAUAAUCCGUGUGCAUUGCUUAUCCCAAAGAUUUUUCAAUUGUUUCAAUUUUACUAAAUGCUGUCUUAGUUUUUCUCGAUUCCUAACACACAAUUCAUGAAACAAUUUACCCCUUUCUCACAACUAUAAACACAUUCUCAUAACAAACAAACUUGUGCUAACUUUCAUGUAAAAAUCAAAUUCUCCAGUCAAAAACCAUUACAUCUAUCAAUAUCAAACUUUGGCCUCAGAUGACAAAACCUACAGUACAAAUACACACACUAUAAAAUCCAAUAGUUUGCCUUACUUAAAUAUAAUAAGUUAUCUUUACUUAGUUGUUAUACUUACUAGGUUUUAUUAAGUUACUGCUCAUUUUAAAGCGAAUAAAACAACUUGCUGCAAUGAGUAAUUCUUAAAAUAUGCAAGUAGCUACAACAAAACCGAUGACAUUACUUCACCAGUGAGAGGCAGCAGUGCGCUAAUGUGUUGCUAAUGCGCAACAAAACAACAGAAGAAGAAAUAAGGACGGUUAGAGAGCAUGCGCAACAAGCGAUGUUUUGAAUUUCUGCGUCGAAUUUGCUGAAACUACGAAGAAGUAGAGAGACUGCUUGCAUUUUACCUCUGGACAAAGACUGAUUACUUCUACACAAUAUAAUAAGGUAAGUUUAAAAAAAAAAUAAUUGUGUGUGGAUGUAUCUUUCUGUGUGCUGUUAAUUUUAACUGACUAACAUUAGCUCCUUGUCAGCACCAGUGUUAGCUAACAGGCAGCAAAGAUCUUUGCUAUUAGAACAAAAACUGUAGAAAUACAGAACUUGUGGCACAUUUUGGUAAAUUUGAAACUUUUUAAAACUUUUUUUAUUUCUCAAAUUGAAAAAAUGUGUUGCUAGUUAAAAAUGAACGCAUGAAAAUUCGAGGUACGAUUCAAGAACAUGCCAAAAGUCUCCAAGAUGAGCUCACAGUAGUUUUUUAAGACAAUCUUUAUGUGCCACUGAUAGUAUUCAUUGUUAACAGUAAUCUUUUGCUAAAUUCCCUCUAUAAUUUUAUAACACUAUGAGGCUUUUGACACUUUUUAGGUUAAAGUCAUUUUUCAGUUUACAGUUUUGUCAACAUUUUAAUACAAUCAUAGUCAUUACGCGAUCACACAUUUAAGAUUUAAACUGAAUGAGCUCGUUGUCUUGCAGUAAUUAUUUCUUUGCUGUGUUGAAACACUAAGUACUGUAACAGAAGAAAUGUUGCUUUUGAAUUGGUUUUACGACUGAGGCCUCAAGUCGAUAUGUAUAAAAAUGUUCUUUCUAUUGUAAAACAUGCAAAUAUCAAGAAACUAGGGGUGCACGAUAUAUAUCGGCCGAUGAUUAAUGCGCAUCUCGUCAGUAAAGCCGGUUCUCUAAUCAGCGGUAAAUUCCAACAGGUGCGCGAUUUCACAUAGAGCAGCAUUUCUUUUAUUUAAAUGUAUAUUUAAGUUUACAUUUAUGUUCCAACAAACUUGAAAAAUUCUGCUUGAUAAAUGCUCUAAAACUUUUAUGUAAAUGAUUGACUUUUAUAUAUAUAUAUAUUACCUGUUUUAUAUAUUUAAUACUUGGUCCGUUUAUUGAUUUGUUUGGUUAACUUUAGAUAUUUCUUUUUUAUUUGUAAUACCGUGGAGUGCACAAAAUUAAGAUUCGAGAGAUGGUUCAAGUCAGUGCUCAAUAAAUGAUGUUAAGUUUAGAAAUGUUGUGCAUCCACUUAUUAUUAGUGUGACAUUUUAGCAUGCAAAUGAGGGGAAAAACUUCAAGAUAUCAGCCCUAAAAAUCGGCAGCACAUAUCGGCCAUCGGCUGACCCUGACCUCUAAACAUCGGCAUCGGCUAUAGAAAAACCCAUAUCGGUCGAUCUCUACUCUGAACAGCGGUCUUGUGAACAUGGGCCUCAGUACAAUAAAGAGGACACUUCACACCCUACAACCCGUAAAAAUAACCCAGAUUCGUCAGAACUACACACCCAUCUGAGGCCUACUGUACCUGUUUUACUUCAUGAUCACCCCAGAUACUUCUACAAUUGACCCGCUUUAGCUCUUAGCUGAACACAAUGAACCAUGCUGUAGAACACCUGGAGUGACGUCGCUGCUCAGGGUGUCUGAUAUUGAUGCAGUCUGGGCACUAGUAUCUGUUGGCUUGCUGACUAUCACUGAAGAUGAAGUACUUCUCCAAAUCUUCUCUGCCUUGACCCUGUGUCUUCUGCCAUCAUUGUUCAGUGUAGUACUGCAAAGAACCGUCUCCAGGGUCUACCUCGCACAUUUGCUUCCGGACCGCCAUGUGCUACGUUUGGAUUACUGGUACAUGAAGAUUACCCUGAUACUGUGAAGAACACUUACAAUAUGAUGCUUGACUUGGGACAGAAAAAAAAAAACACUGGCAACUUGUGUGGCCAACUCAUUGCCAUACUUAAUCUCAUCUUACUGCUACCUCCACUGUUUAGUAUAAACAAAAGCAGACAGUUUUUGCUUUGUUUCAAAAUGUUUGUAAUACAAGUUAAAACUGCAUUGAAAAAUAUAAAAAAUAUAUUAUCUUUAACUUUGAACUGUCACUACCUUUGAUUUAUGGGUAAUUAUGUGUGUGAAGAAUAGAACAUUGUUGUCAUGAAUUUUUAAUGGAUGUUUGAACCAUAUUAAGUUACUGGAGUAACGCUAACUUCUUCUUUUUUUUGUUUUUUUUAUUUAAGGCAAUUGGUUAAAACUAGAUUGCUGUUCAAGUAAAUACAACUUAGAAAUGUUACUUGAUUUAGCUAAACUUAAAUGAGUUGUUUGAAAUACGCACAUAGUAUAUUGCAAUUAAUAAUUUAGUUGUUGAAAAAAGUGAUUCUGAGUUACAAGAACUUGAGUGUAAGUUUACAACAAAUAAACCUUUGUUAGUACAAAUUACUAUUCUUAUUUCACUUUACUUGUUUUUUUUUCAAGGCAAUCGGUUUGCAUGCUUUUUUAAAAUAACUAAUUAGAAUCAGACAACUUCCCUGCCCAGUGAACACUAGUGAGAUCAACUCAGAACACUGUAGCUGUAAUAAAGUACUGUUAUUAUAGUUACUAUACUGUACUACACUGUGUGGUUCUUUCAGCUCUCUCUUCAGUGCUAGGAUGCAUUUUUAAAGCAGUCACCUGUGCUCCUGUUUAUACUAUCCUGAGAUUCUGACUGGUGUCAUCAGUUUUGCUACUGAAUGCUUGCUAAUUGUGUGUUAUUUGAGUUCACACUGUGACACUAGAGUUAAUUAUUUGAUGUGUAUGUGUUUUAUGAGUGAGAACAUAAAAUAUCUGUAAAAUGAGGCCAACUUUGGAGAAAUCAUUAAAAAAAUUGGAAUGUGUGGAUAGAUGCAUUCCAGUAUAAUAUAUAGCCUAGAAUAUUAUAAUUUCUAAAAUACUAAAUUAUUAAAACAUUACAUGAUUGAAGUGUUUACUCAUGGUCCAUCGUUAAUUUAGAAUUUGGCCUUUGGAUUUAACUGUGUUAAUGCAUUAAGCCAUUUUUCGAUUAACGGUUUUCUGGGGGACAAAACACAUAAACUUAUAAAAAUGUUGUCUUUCCAUUUACUUUAUACUGCCAUUAUCUUGUGCCAUUAGUGAUAUAUGGUGCUUACAAGAAAGCUGUGAAUUGGUUGUUCCUGGUUGUUGUUUUACAAGUGCACUUCUAAACAACAUUGUAAGUUCAUUGAUUAGCUAUAUUGCAGUGUAAUUUUAAUUUUACUCGUCAUAUUUUCGUCAACGUUCUGAACGUUAUGAAAUAUUCGGGGAUUUGGAGGUGCUAAAAUGAUAUAACAUGCAGGUUUUUUUGUUUCUUUUUGCUCCAAACAAAACAAAACACUAAUCUACAGCACUUAAGACAUUUGACAAAAUCACACACACAACUGGCAAAAGGUAUUACAGACGACAAGGCGUAGACGUCACGUAGCUUCUCACGCGAGAAGUGGGGCGACGAAAGUGUCGCGCUUCUUAUCACACAUCCUUGGUCACGGCAAGGUAC
This is a long non-coding RNA of Cyprinus carpio carpio, 12119 nucleotides long. The record is from Ensembl. Lineage: Eukaryota; Metazoa; Chordata; Actinopteri; Cypriniformes; Cyprinidae.